UGGGGAAUUUUGCACAAUGGAGGAAACUCUGAUGCAGCGACGCCGCGUGAGUGAUGAAGAUCUUCGGAUUGUAAAACUCUGUCCUUAGUGAAGAUAAUGACAGUAACUAAGAAGCAAGCCCUGGCUAAAUACGUGCCAUCAGCCGCGGUAAUACGUAUGGGGCAAGCGUUGUCCGGAAUUAUUGGGCGUAAAGGGUACGUAGGCGGUUUAAUAAGUCCUAAUUAAAAGGCUAUGGCUCAACCAUAGUAUGGUUAGGAAACUGUUGAACUUGAGUAGAUGAGGGGAAAGUGGAAUUCCAUGUGUAGCGGUGAAAUGCGUAGAUAUAUGGAGGAACACCAAUGGCGAAGGCAACUUUCUGGAAUCAAACUGACGCUGAGGUACGAAGGCGUGGGGAGCAAACAGG
Molecule: ribosomal RNA, 403 nt
Filed under: Fusobacteriota bacterium
Lineage: Bacteria; Fusobacteriati; Fusobacteriota
Description: Fusobacteria bacterium partial 16S ribosomal RNA
Rfam family: Bacterial small subunit ribosomal RNA
Source: RNAcentral